CCUACGGGUUGCAGCAGUGGGGAAUAUUGGACAAUGGGCGCAAGCCUGAUCCAGCCAUGCCGCGUGAGUGAAGAAGGCCUUAGGGUUGUAAAGCUCUUUCACCGGUGAAGAUAAUGACGGUAACCGGAGAAGAAGCCCCGGCUAACUUCGUGCCAGCAGCCGCGGUAAUACGAAGGGGGCUAGCGUUGCUCGGAAUGACUGGGCGUAAAGGGCGCGUAGGCGGUUUAUGCAGUCAGAUGUGAAAUCCCCGGGCUUAACCUGGGAACUGCAUUUGAGACGCAUAGACUAGAGGUCGAGAGAGGGUUGUGGAAUUCCCAGUGUAGAGGUGAAAUUCGUAGAUAUUGGGAAGAACACCGGUGGCGAAGGCGGCAACCUGGCUCGAUACUGACGCUGAGGCGCGAAAGCGUGGGGAGCAAACAGGAUUAGAUACCCCAGUAGUC
RNAcentral lists this ribosomal RNA (440 nucleotides) under uncultured bacterium. RNAcentral's name for it is "bacterial SSU rRNA". It matches the Rfam family "Bacterial small subunit ribosomal RNA", at positions 338 to 795 of the family's 1533-position model. The record is from RNAcentral.